This is a non-coding RNA of Schistosoma curassoni, 48 nucleotides long. The record is from Rfam. NCBI's taxonomy places the organism in Eukaryota, Metazoa, Platyhelminthes, Trematoda, Strigeidida, Schistosomatidae.
AUCCAACUGACUAGUCUCAAAUAGGAUGAAAGGCGCGUCAAACUGGAU